Molecule: long non-coding RNA, 277 nt
Organism: Bombus huntii
Lineage: Eukaryota; Metazoa; Arthropoda; Insecta; Hymenoptera; Apidae
Exons: 2
Source: RefSeq, a predicted model, not a curated record
GCCAUUGUCUGUUUGGCGGCGCAGCACCGCGCGGCGUGCGCGACGCACGUCGACGCCCGGCGUCGCGACGCCACUCUUGCACGCAACGCCGUCGCGGCCGUCGUCAUCCUCCUGCCUCUUUUCUCUCUGCCUUCAGCUAGCCGCCCGAAUUUCUGCGCCGAGAGUCGGAGUUUAGCUAAAAAGCCAGCAACCUGCACUCGGCCGAUUUUGCCUACACGUGAGUGGUCAUACACCGGCCGAACUUUCCGAGGGAAGAACACCGAAGAUACACCGCCAA